Molecule: unclassified non-coding RNA, 436 nt
Filed under: Hevea brasiliensis (rubber tree)
Lineage: Eukaryota; Viridiplantae; Streptophyta; Magnoliopsida; Malpighiales; Euphorbiaceae
Source: RNAcentral
GAAAAAGUGUAUAAAGACAAAGAUUACGGUAUAAGUAAGAAAUGAAAACCAUCAUAUGACAAACUGAGGUGCAAAGAAGAAGCAAGUAUUAGCAGUAAAAUGCUAAAUCACAAGAUAAUAAAAUCUUUAAGUCUUCAACGAAGAGCAUUGAUGACUAUUGAAGAAUGAAAUCCAGUAAACUCACUAGCAUUCACUUAUGACAAUUACCGGAAUCUUUUAACUUGGAAGAUUUCAAAAUGACAAUAAUGCUCAUGAUAUCCUCAAAACAUUUGUUUAAAAAAUUCUAUGGCCCCCGCCCCGCAACAAAUCAUAUAGGCAUUCUUGGGCAUCAUAAAAACUUGAACAUCCAGCGACAAAAAUAAAUUAAUUUUUAGCUCUUAGCUCCUAACAGCUCCCCUCACCAGAGCUAAAAUUCCACAAUCAAUUUUCCUUUUGA